Molecule: long non-coding RNA, 793 nt
Filed under: Homo sapiens (human)
Lineage: Eukaryota; Metazoa; Chordata; Mammalia; Primates; Hominidae
Description: long intergenic non-protein coding RNA 1393
Source: RNAcentral
AGUAGAGACAGGGUUUCAGUAUGUUGGCCAGACUGGUUUUGAACUCCUGAACUCAAGUGAUCCACCCACCUCGACCUCCCGAAGUGCUGGGAUUACAGGUGAUACGAAGCCUUCUGAAGAUUUGAAUCAAGGAAAUGAGGAGCCAUUGAAGAAUACUGUUGUCCUAUCCCAGAAGGAGCAAGCGGACAACACUGAUAUCCUGACCACUAACCAUCCAGCACCACUUAAAGUUUUAAAAAGAAUAACAGAAAGAAAGAAGUGGCUGAAACCUAAAUGCCAUAUGGAGAAGACAGCUAAUUGCCACACUCUCCUCUUUGGUCUUUCCUGGUACGCAGCAUACAAGCCCACAGAUUGAGGACUCUGCACUUGCUGUUCUCUCUGCCUGGAGCUCUAUGGCUCCAGAUAGACUCCUGCCAACUCCUUCGCCUUGUCCAAGUUACCUUCAUUAAAUGUCAGCUUAAAUGUGUGCCUACUUUUUGCCCUACCUAGAAUUGCAAGCACCUCUCACCACUGUGCUCCCAUUCUCCUUAACUUAAGCCACUUUUAUUCUCAUAAUAAAGCCACAUAUUUUUUCUUAUUAUAUCAUAAUCGUACUGUAUAAUUUAUAUUUUAUUACUUUUGUUUGUAUACUUAUUGUAUGUUUCUGUUCACAAGGAUGUAAACCCCAUGAACACAGAGAUCUUUGAUUGUUUUAUUCACUGAUUUAUGCCAAAUGUUUGGAACAAUGCCUGGCACAUAGUAGAUGUUUGAUAAUUUUUUUUUUUUCUGAAUGAAUAAAUACAUUUUAGCCAAA